RNAcentral lists this long non-coding RNA (218 nucleotides) under Vigna radiata. RNAcentral's name for it is "long non-coding RNA (VRAD_LNC000382)". Lineage: Eukaryota; Viridiplantae; Streptophyta; Magnoliopsida; Fabales; Fabaceae. The record is from RNAcentral.
CCACCCCAAAGUCUAUAGUUGAUUAUAGACGUCGGUUCCCACUACAGUCGACGUCUAUAUAUACCACGAAUAUUAUCUUUUAAAUCGAACGGACAUCAGACUAGUGAGGUCUCCGACGUAUAUUCCAUUAUAGACGCCGGUCUCCUGGGCAACCGACAUCUCAUUUCUUGUUAAAUGAGUGAUUGUGAACCAGCAGUUUCGCGCACUAGUUUCUCCUG